AAGAGUUGCGUAGGUGGUUCUAUAAGCGAAUAGUGAAAUCCAACGGCUCAACCGUAUGGACUAUUAUUCGAACUGUGGGACUCGAGAAUGGUAGAGGUAACUGGAAUUUCUAGUGUAGGAGUGAAAUCCGUAGAUAUUAGAAGGAACACCAAUGGCGUAGGCAGGUUACUGGACCAUUUCUGACACUGAGGCACGAAAGCGUGGGGAGCGAACCGGAUUAGAUACCCGGGUAGUCCACGCCGUAAACUAUGGAUACUAGCUGUUGGGGGUAUCGACCCCCCCAGUAGCGAAGCUAACGCGUUAAGUAUCCCGCCUGUGGAGUACGGUCGCAAGACUAAAACAUAAAGGAAUUGACGGGGAGCCGCACAAGCGGUGGAUCAUGUUCUUUAAUUCGAUGAUAAACGAAGAACCUUACCAGGGUUUGACAUCCUUGGAAUUUCUCCGAAAGGAGAGAGUGCUUUAUUGAGCCAAGUGACAGGUGCUGCAUGGCCGCCGUCAGCUCGUGUCGUGAGAUGUUUGGUUAAGUCCAUUAACGAGCGCAACCCUUGUGAAUAGUUGUAUUUUUCUAUUCAAACUGCCCCGGCAACGGGGAGGAAGGAGGGGAUGAUGUCAGGUCAGUAUUGCCCUUAC
This 630-nucleotide ribosomal RNA is filed under the name uncultured bacterium. RNAcentral's name for it is "bacterial SSU rRNA". It matches the Rfam family "Bacterial small subunit ribosomal RNA", at positions 563 to 1205 of the family's 1533-position model. The record is from RNAcentral.